RNAcentral lists this long non-coding RNA (545 nucleotides) under Polistes fuscatus (common paper wasp). RNAcentral describes it as "uncharacterized LOC122526479". Lineage: Eukaryota; Metazoa; Arthropoda; Insecta; Hymenoptera; Vespidae. The record is from RNAcentral.
AGAAUAUCGAUAUGGAUCAUUUGAACACACACGAGUUCACUGAUAACUCGAGAAACAAAGCUGGCACAUAGGCAUGACUUGAGAGAAUAUAUAUAUAUAAUAUAUAUGUAUAUAUAAAUGUUUGUGACACGUCACAGACACAUCGAACGAUUGGGCGAGGGAAAUACACAUGCCUUUUGAUUAAUGUCAAUUCCGGCAUUGAUUUUUUUUUUUGCGAGAGAACAACGAGAAGAACAACGACCAAAAAAUAAAUGAUGUUUUCCUCAUCAUCUUUUUAUCAUAACAUUUUCAAAUUAUCAUUAGAAACCACGAUGAUAAUGAUUAAAUUAAUCGCUGUUAUAAUAUUAUAUUUAUAUACACCGUGUACGAACCUCGACGAGGUAACGUUAAUUUAUAUUAUUAUUAAUAUUAUUAUUAUUUUCCUAUUCUUCUUCUUGUAAUAUAUUUAUGUAUAUCGAAAUAUGAGAACGUUCGGUGUAUGCCUAAAAUUUGUAAUAUGUGCGUUAUGUGUGCAUUUAUGAGUAGGACAUCGAUUUAGAUCAUUA